AUGUGAAGACACGAGGAAAAAGCCGUCUACAAGCCAUAGAUGGAGGUUCAGAAGAAAUCAACCCUGCUGAACAUUUUGAUCUUGGACUCCCAGUCUCUAAAACUGUGAGUAAAUACAUUUCUGUUGUUUGCGCCACCCAGUCUGUGUACCUUGUUACGGCAGCCUUAGCAAACUAGUAGAAUAAGAAAAAGAGAAGAGGGGCGCCUGGGUGACUCAGUCGGUUGAGAGUCCGACUUCAGAAGCUCAGGUCAUGAUCUCGCGGUUCAUGAGAGCACAGCCCACGUUAGGCUCUGUGCUGACAGCUCAGAGCCUGGAGCGUGCUUCGGACUCUGUGUCUCCCUCUCUCUCUGCUCCUCCCCACUCAUGCUCUGUGUCUGUCUGUCUCUCUCAAAAGUAAAUAAAAACAUUAAAAAAAAAGAAAGAAAGGAAAAAGAGAAGAGAUACAAGGACUAGAAAGGAAGAAACACAAGUGUGAUAUGAUUGUCUGCAUCAGGAAAUGGUAUCAGUGACCUAAAAUUAAAUGCAUGAACUCUCCCUGCCCUUUGCAUUACAUUUUGUUGUGGUGGUGGUGGUGGUGGUGGUGGUGGUGGCACAAGCACAGGUAAAUUCACAAGAAUGUUAAAGAAUAAUAGAAACAUUUCAUCUUGGUGAUAGGUACUUUUUCCUUCUUUCUGUCUUUAUUUUUUUUUUGGGGGGGGUGGGUGGGGGAAGAGAGGCAGGCAGAGGAAGGCAAGCAGGCCCCAUGCCCAGCCUGCUGCCCCAUGAGGGGCUCAGUCUCACAACCGUGAGAUCAUGACCUGAGCCGAAAUCAAGAAUUGUACAUGCAAGGGACUGAGCCACCCACAUGCCCCUCAUAUACUCCUGUAUAUAGUUGAAAUGCUUAAUUUUUUGUAAAAAUAAAAAACUCUGAGAUCUAAAUAAACGCAAAUGUUAAACUCUAAAGGACUCAUAAUGUUUUUUAAAAGUCCCACAAUGCUGUUCUCUACUCUCUGUACACAUCUGUCUUUUCAGAAGACAGUAAGCUCACCCGCAUAACUACCAUCACCACAGCAGGAAGGUUAAGACCAGCAAAGAGGGGCACCUGGGUGGCUCAGUCAGUUAAGCAUCUGACUUAGGCUCAGUUCACAAACGCGUGGUUCGUGAGUUCGAGCCCCGUGUCAGGCUCUGUGCUGGAGCCUGUGUCCCUCUCUCUCUCUGCCCCUCCAGAGCCUGUGGAUUCUGUGUCCCUCUCUCUCUGCCCCUCCCCUGCUUGUGCUCUUUCUGUCUCAAAAAUAAAAUAAAAACAUUAAAAAAAGAAAACAGCAAAGAAAGCAUUUUAAUAUCCAAGACGCUUAUUUUUAAGUCAGAAUAAACACCAACUUUAGGUUACUGCCCCCCUUUCAAGCCUUGCACAAUCUCCUAUAAUCAGAAAGGUGCUGGGGGCAAAUAUACCACACUCUGCACCUGUGAGUACUCAGUGAGCUCAUUAAGGAGAAGACUCAGCAGAGUAGGCUUACAGGCACCAGGUGUAAUAAGGUUCAUGGUCAAAGUCAAGAUCAUAACAGGGAUUGUUGGGACAAAACUAGGGAUGGAUAAUGUCAUGGAAUCUUUAUUGCUAUUGAAAAACAAAAUCUUAUAAACUUCUAUCUCCUUAAAAAAAACAACAAAAAAGAAAAUCUCAGAUUCAGUAAAAUUUGCAUUGGCCCCACCUGUGCUUUUUAACAAUAAUCUUCCUUCCCCAAUCAUCCAUCCCUUCUCUGUGCUUAGGAUAAUGACUCAAACUUUUCCCCGGACUUUUCCUAAGGGGAAAAAGGACAAGAAUACCUAACAACAACAACAACAAAAAUGUAAUGCAAAGGGCAGGGAGAGUUCAUGCAUUUAAUUUUAGGUUACUUACCAGGUUUUUCUUGAGUCAUGGCCAGGGUUAUUUUGGUGCUGGCACGGGGAAUGUGGUUUGCAUGGGUGUGGGUUAGAUUAAAAACAAACAAACAAACAAACUCUCUCUCACACCAAGUGCUCAAAGAACAGGUAUGUAAACCGGAUCCAUGAGACCACCAGACAAGCCCCUCCCACAGAUCCAACCAGGAUACCUGCCAGGAGAUUCUGCUAAAAAGGGUUUCCCACAGUCCAGAAAGGGACAGGAGAGUGGCUAACAGAGUCACUAUUUCAAAUCCUCUGACACCUUCUUUUUCCGGUGGAAGUAUUAAGCAACGUUAGAGAAAAGAAUCCCACUUUAAAAAAUACAUUAAAUAACAGAUGAGGUGCUUAAAAUAUUAUGUUACUCCCUUUAUAAGCAUGUUACCCAUAGUUCAUUUGUUUUACACACACAUAUGUGUGUGUGUAUGUAUAUGUGUGUAUAUAUAUGUAUGUGUGUGUGUGUAUAUAUAUAUAUAUAUAUAUAUAUAUAUAUAUUCCCCCCCCCCAAGGGAAAACAGAGUACCCAUCAAAUAACAUAAUUAAAAAUACAUCCUAGAGCCUGGUAAAACCAGAGACAGCAAAGUGACCCAAGAGGACAAGGAAGUCUGGAAGUCAAGCACUCUAUCUGUUCUACAGUCAGCAAGGUUAAACUGCCACAAGAGACUUCCAAGAAUUAAAUUCUGAAAGAUCAUGGUUUUAAAAAUAUGAAGCAAAGGGAGCCCCUGAUUCACAGGAGGUUCCUUGAAGAACCAGGACUUCAUCCAACCCUGAGACCUUCCCAAUUUCUUAAAUUGCUACCUUCUAUAGCUAUUUGUGCACUUAACAUUACCCAGUGUCUCUCUGACCAGACUACAAGCUCCAUGAGGCCAAGAACUAGGUUUUAUCCAUUUCUCCACAUCUAGUAGGGCCUAAACUGACAGUCUGAAUAUAUCAAACACUCAGUAAAUAUUAGUUGGGUCUAAGUGAAUCUGGCAUAAAAGGCCUGGUGAAAUAGAAGGAAGAAGUAUACAGUUUUUGGAAAGAGCCUGUUCAAAAGAAAUGCCCAUUUAAAAUGUUAAAAGAUGAACAGCCAACCUUUGCAAGAAAGAGAUAAAAUGUUCCUCUAAGUAAAAUUGAGGAAGAAAAGCACCAGAGCUUCCCCUUGCAAGCUUCUAAAAAGAUAAAAGCAUGUCUGGUUUGAGUGAUAAUGUAUUACAGGCUUAGGCAAGAACAGGUGAAAAAAAUCUGAUAAAAGCAAUCAACCAAGACGCUGCCUGUAACUCAAUGAAGAGGGAGCCAUGCUUGGCCAGGCUGCUUCAAAACAUCCUGGUAUCAAGAUGGCUUUAAAGUAAGGAAGGCUCAAACAGGAGAGAGAAGAUAAAUGCUUCAUCUUCAACUUGUUCUUUAUCGCAGAUGCUCUCUCACUCCUAUUAAGUAUUUAUGGAGUGCCAACAACCGGUGAGACUUCGAGGUGAAGGGAAACACCCCAGCCAUUGCUGCUCAGGAGUUGGCCUUGACCUGUGUUCUCACUAGCUGUUAAACAUAACAUGCCUAACUUGGAGCAGUGCCAUGACAGCAAGUGUCUCUCAGGAACCGUUUGUUAUAACCUCUCAAAGAGCAGUGAGUCAGUUUCAGCUCCUCUCUGAGAAGUCUGAGACUCCUGAAUGAAAAAUCUUCAAGAUUCAAAAAGGGAUAACCAUUUUGUAGAAAUCGGCAAGGUGAUCCUAAAUUCAGAUGGAAAUACAAGCAACCUGGUAUGGCCAAUUUUGAAAAAGAAUAACAAAGUUGGAAAACAUAUACUACCAGAUUUUAAAACUUACUAUAAAACUGUAAGUAACCAAGAGUAACCAAAACACUGAUAGACUCGUAAGUCAAUGGAAGAGAACUGAGUCCAGAAAUAAUCCUUUACACUUAAUGGCCAGUUGAUUCUGCCAAGGGAAUUCAGUGGGGAAAAGAUGGUCUUUUCAACAACUGGUAUCUAGAUUACUGCUGCAAUGAUGUUAAAAAAAAGAGAGAGAGAAAAAAGAACUUACACCCUUAUCUCACACCUAUCUCAAAAUUAACUCAAAAUGGAAUAUUGACAUAUGUAAGGGCUGAAACUAUAAAACUUCUAGAUAAAAACAGAGGAGAAAAUCUUUGUGACCUUGGGUCAGGCAAAGAUUUUUUUAUAUAUGACACCAAAAGCAUAAUCAAUAAGAGAAAAACAUUGAUAAAACUGAACUUAAUCAAAAUUUAAAAUGUUUGCUCUUCAAAAGACAACCACUUAAGAAAAUGAAAAGACAAGCCACACAUUGGGAGAAAUUAUUUGCAAAUCACAUAUCUGAUAAAAUAUUUGUAUCCAGAAUACAUAAGGAAUUCUUAUAACUCAAUAAUAAGAUGACAACAACCCAAUACAAAACCAACUGAGCAAAGAUUUGAAGACAUUUCACCAAAGAAAAUAUAUAAACUGCUAAUGAACACAUGAAAAUAAGCUCAACAUCAUUACUUAUUAGGGAAACACAAAUUAACGUUUAUUUAUUUUUGAGACAGAGAGAGACAGAGCAUGAACGGGGGAGGGGCAGAGAGAGAGGGAGACACAGAAUCAGAAGCAGGCUCCAGGCUCUGAGCCAUCAGCCCAGAGCCCGACGCGGGGCUCGAACUCAUGGACCACGAGAUCGUGACCCGGGCUGAAGUCGGACGCUUAACCGACUGAGCCACCCAGGCGCCCCUAGGGAAACACAAAUUAAAACCACAAAUAGAUACCACUACAUACCUACUAGAAUUCCUAAGACUGACAAUACCAGGUGUUGAGAGGAUGUGACAAAAUAGGAACCCUCACUCACUGCUUAAACGUACAGCCACUUUGAAAAUGUUUGUCAGUUUCUUAAAAGGUUAAACAAAGACCUCCCAGGUGGAAAUACACGACCACACAAAAACCUGCAUGUGAAUGUUCACAGCAGCAUCAUUCAUAACUACCUCAACUAAAAACAAUCCAAAUGUCUUAUCACCUGGUGAAUGGAUAGCCAAAAUGUAGUAAAUUCAUAUACCAGAAUACUAUUUAGCAAUAAAAAGGAACAACACAUUCAACAUGGAUGAACCUAGUCAAGGAAGCCAAACGCAAAAGACCAUAUAGUCUUUCAUUUAUAAGAAAUCUCUAGGAAACACCAAUCCAGAGACAGAAGCGUAAGUGGUUGGGACUGAAGGUGGAAGCGGGGACCCACCCCAAACAUAUAAUUGGAUUUUAGUUGCAAAACUGGAUUUUAGUGAUAGUUGUACUACUGUGUGUUUACUAAAAAUCACCGAAUUGUACAUUUACAAUAGAUGAAGUUUAUAGUACGUAAACUAUAUUUAAAAAACCACCAGCAACCAACCACCUGUAUUACUUAAGAGCCCUAACUGCAGGUUCCUAUACUGUGAAAAUCUUUUUGGGAUAUUUUGUAGAAGAAAUGGAACUUUCAGGCAGAGAACUAAGAAAUGGAUUUCUCUGCAAGAGUGGUUCUCCAACUUUAGCACAUGUAAGAAUCACUUGGAAAACCUGUUGAAACACAGAUAACCCCAGAUAUCCCUCCACCCCAGAUAGGUCUGGGGUGGGGUUCAUUACUUUGCACUUCUUUUUUUAAAAUCUGCAUUCCUACAGAGCGCCAGGAACACACAGGAAAAACACAGAUUGCAAAGUCCCACCAGAGAUUACCUCAAAUCUUUAUGAAAGAAGGACAAGCAAUCUAUACCUCUUACAGGAUAGAAUCUUAUAAUUGAUCAAUCUCAUGGUUUAGCACUCUAUGAGCUACAGCACUCUCAUGGACCAUUAAUACAUAGUUUCAAGAGUAAAAUCUGUGUUCCCGUGUUGAAAGUGACAGAGAAAAUGUCCUAUAUUUUAAAUGGUUCAAAGUCAGAAGGGUUCCGCUUUAGGCCUUUCUAAAUGAAGUCAUUUGUGGAGAAGUUAAUUAAAUUUAUUCAAGGUUUCUAAACGUGCUUCCACAUUUAAAAAAAUGUUUUCUCCUUUAAACAUGUUUAGGUUACCUUUCAAGUUGAAUCUAAUUUUAAAUCUGUUCAAGUGCAAGAUCAUGUGUUUUUCUGGAUUCUUAACAGGGAUGUGUAAUUGUUUGAUCUAUAAGAUCACAAUUCUGGGGCGCCUGGGUGGCUCAGUCGGUUAAGCGUCCAACUUCAGCUCAGGUCAUGAUCUCACGGUCCGUGAGUUCGAGCCCUGCAUCGGGCUCUGUGCUGACAGCUCAGAGCCUGGAGCCUGCUUCAGAUUCUGUGUCUCCUUCUCUCUCUGUUCCUGCUCUGUCUCUCAGAGGGCUCAUGAACCCUCCCCCGUUCAUGCUCUGUCUCUCUCUGUCUCAAAAAUAAAUAAACAUUAAAAAAAAAAUUUUAACAUCACAAUUCUGACAGGCACUGAUAACACUCAGCAGCAGCAGCAGCACCACCAUUUUUAAUGGUUCAAUUCUACAGUGUCCUGCAUACCUACUGCAGUCUAAUCCUGGGCUAUCACCGAAGACACAGACACAGAAGACACAGAAGACCCCGUUCUUACCAGGAAUUCACCAUACUUUUCAACAAUUAUAAAAACAAUACUACUCAACAUCAGUGUAUGUGGGAACAGACAGGGGAAAUUCUUAUAGAAGUAGGACUGCAUCCUAGAAAAAAAAUGUAACGGCACUUAAAUUAUUUUCAAUUUCUCUUAUCAGUAUGGCUCAAAGGAGUGGGAGUAGUCUCGCACACUGCAAUGCCAUAUUGCAAGAGCCAGAAAGAGCCAGACUGAGGACCUCAAUGUAAACGUGCCUGGAGGAGCGCGCGCACACACAUGCACACGCGCGCGCGCGCGCACACACACACACACACACACACACACACACACACACACACACAGUAUUCCCUAAUAGCGCCUCAUUGUUUUGUCAGAUUCUGACUGAACUGGCCUGGAGUGGGGCUCAAGCACUCUAGGGAGAGGAUUUGGUGGUAGAUUAUGUUCCUAAAGAGUCGCAACAAUACUGUCUGGCCCACAGGCUCCUCUGCAAUGGCCCCUCUCCAUAUCACCAGGCUAGCCCAGAUUCUUGUUUUGACCCACAGAAUGGGGAGGAAGUGACUUCUGAGGCCAGGCCCUGACAGAACUGCAGCCAUGCCUUCACUGCUUGGCAUGCUCCCUCUUGGAACCCUGCUGCCAUGUAACAAAAUCCAAGUUAGCCACGUGGAGGAGGGGUCCUUGCCUCCUAGCCACACCUAGCCACACCUCCUAGCCACACCAAGGUGCCAGACUGGUCUUAUGAGUGAAACCAUCAUAGAUGUUCCACUUCCAGUCACCAUCUUGACUACAACCUGAGAUGCCCCUGCUAUGGCCACACAGAGAAGAACUGCCUGGCUGAGCCCUGCCUGAAUUCCUGAGUCACAGAAGUAUGAGCAAAUAUAAGAUUUUGGAGUUGGUUUUGUUACCUAAUAAAAGACAACAGAAAUAGGUUUCAAGCUGGUUCUCGAACAUUCUUCCAGGGAAAUGACAUGCAGAUUGUAGUCAACAGGUAUGGAGUAUACUUACACCUCAGGGGUAGGAGAAGCCUGAAUCUAGCUACUGAGGGAAGAAUCACAAGACAGACCUGAUCUGCUUCCUUACCACUGAAGUUUUCCAGAUCUGUAGACAAAAGGCUUUAUUGUUUUCCAAAUUUUAUACUAAAAAAGCAAGUUACAUGAGCAUUUCUAAAUUCCUUUCUUAAGGCCAAAUGGAACACAGGACUGCCAUUACACACCAACCCAUCAAUGUGGUUCUACUCUUUUUUUUUCUUAAUUUUUUUUAAUGUUUAUUUAUUUCUGAGACAGAGAGAGACAGAGCGUGAGUGGAGGAGGGGCAGAGAGAGAGGGAGACACAGAAUCCGAAGCAGGCUCCAGGCUCUGAGCUGUCAGCACAGAGCCCGAUGCGGGGCUCCAACACACAAACCGUGAGAUCAUGACCUGAGCCGAAGUUGGUCGCUCAACUGACUGAGCCACCCAGGUGCCCCAAUGUGGUUCUACUCUUAAGAGUUAGCUGCAACAGAAGGAACAAGAGAUCUUGCAGAUGUGGAUUUCAACAGUGUCAUCUAUUCUGCUCUUCCCUCUAAAUACCAGCACCUCAUGUUAAUUUUGUAAUAGGAAAGAAAAUGUAUACCUAAUCAUAUUUAAAAUGCCACCCAUGACAAAGGCUGCAAAAGAUGAUGCUGGGGUCACGCAGAUUGAAAUCCUGGGUCUGCCAUUUCCCAUCUGUAAGAUGGGAAGCCUGGUCCACAACAAGCACUCAAGAAAUGUCAAGUUCAUGUUUCCCUUCUCUCUUCCCUCCCAAGUCAAUGUUGUAUAAAGUGUUGUAAAGCCCUAGGAUUUUCUCGAAUGUACUCUAAGCAAAUACAAUAAACAAAGUCACAUAUAGCUCACCUAACAGUGCUCAAGGGAAUUAAACAGAUGUAUGUACACAUACACGUAUACCAUCCAGGUACACUGGACAAAUCCUACUCAUCCAAGUACCAUGCAGGUAUUACUGUCCCUUUUAAGCAUUUGAAAUGUCAACUAUCUGAGAAAGAAAAUGAACGAAGUUGCUUCUAUGUUUCUGGACAGGUUGUCCAAAGCUCUUUGGAUGAGAAAGCAGAUAACUUAGCUGCCAGAGAACAGGCCGUGCUCAUUUAGAGAUGGAUCCUUAAAAGGAGAACUGCAGAGAUGAGCUCUAAGCCCAAAGCAGCUAUGUGAGUCUUAAUGAUCUCAACUCACAACUGAGAGCUGGCUACUGAACACUUCAGCGUUGGGAAGUAACAAGUCCUGGAGUCUACUGCUUGAGAGAGAGGAAGCUUUCGUUCAAGCAGGGCAAACAGUCUUCACAUUCACAAGGAUGCCGGCAGGUAGAGGAGCUUAGUUCUGCUAGGAUUUAGGAAACUGAUGAUACUCAAUGGAAUCCUUCCUGAUUCUUACAUAAGGUGGUAAACAGAAUCUCCUACUUUAACUGGCAUUAAACUGCUAAUGGCAGCCUCCUGCUAAUUAUAGCUCAGUCUUCACCUGUCUCUGUUACACUGCACUUUCCCUCACUCUUUUAGCCACUGAAAUCACAGAACGAAAAAAAUGAGACUAUAUCUGCUUUUCAGGUCUCAACUUUAUAUGACUUGUUCAAGAUCUUAUGUCUGCUACAUUAAGUGUGAAAUCUGCAUUUCAUCAUUUUGGGCCUGUUUGUUCAUUCUCCUCUCAGGUACAAGGGCUGAACUUGGUGGCAGUGGUAAAGGACUUAGAGAUCUUCUGGGGCAAGCAAGUAAGUAAGAGAACAUUGUUGCAAAGUUCUCAUCCAGUAUAUGAAGUGAUAAAACACAAACUGAAGGUACACUGUGAUAAGUUAAAGAUGUGUAUGGUAAAACCUAGAGCAACCACUAAUAAAAUAAACCAAAGAGGUAAAAAGCUAAUAAGCUCAUAUUGGAGAUAAAAAGUAAUAAUACAAAAUUCUAUCAGUCCAGGGGUGCCUGGGUGGCUCAGUUAGUUAAGGGUCUGACUCUUGAUUUCGACUUGGGUCAUGAUCUCAUGGUUUAUGAGUUUGAGGCUCGCGUGCGGCUCUGUGCUGACAGCGUGGAGACUGCUUGGGAUUGUCUGUCUCCCUCUCUCUCUGCCCUUCCUCAGCUUGCUUGCUCUCUCUCAAAAAUAAAUAAAUAAAUAUAUUUUUUAAUGUUUUUUAAUUUUUAAUGUUUAUUUUUGAGAGAGAGAGUGAGAGCACAAGUGGAGGUGGGGCAGAGAGAGAAAGGGAAACUCAGAAUCUGAAGCAGGCUCCAGGCUCUGAGCUGUCAGCACAGAGCCUGACAUAGGGCUCGAACUCAUGAACCGUUGAGAGAUCAUGACCUGAGCCAAAGUGGGACACAACUGACUGAGCACCCAGGCGCCCCAAAAAAUUUUUAAAAAUUCUUAGUCCAGAUGAGGUCAGGAAAAGAGGAAAAAAUAAAACAAACAAAAAAUAAAUAAAACAAAAAAAAAAGAGCAAAAGAUAAAAAAUAAGAUGAUCAACUUCAACCCAAUUAUAUUGAUAACUGCAUUAAAUGCAAACAUUCCAGUUAAGAGGCAAAGAUAAUCUGGAUUAAAAAAAGCAACACAAAAUUAUAUGCUUUCACUAAGAAAUCUACUUUAAAUAGGAUUAAAUACAAAGAUAUAGAUAGGUUAAAAGUAAAAAGAUUGAAAUAACCAUGCAAACACUAAGCAAAAGAAAGCUGGAUUGGCUACAAGUAUUUCUAAAGAUUUUAACAUUUUCCUCUGUGACUGAUAAAACAAGUAGACAGAACAUCAGAAUAAUUCCAGAAGACUUGAAAAACACUAUCAACCAAACUGAUCUGGCAUUGAUAGAAAAUCCACCUAAAAGCAGAAAAGACUUUUCUUGGGGCGCCUGGGUGGCGCAGUCGGUUAAGCGUCCGACUUCAGCCAGGUCACGAUCUUGCGGUGCGUGAGUUCGAGCCCCGCAUCAGGCUCUGGGCUGAUGGCUCAGAGCCUGGAGCCUGUUUCCGAUUCUGUGUCUCCCUCUCUCUCUGCCCCUCCCCCAUUCAUGCUCUGUCUCUCUCUGUCCCAAAAAUAAAUAAACGUUGAAAAAAAAAAUUUAAAAAAAAAAAAAAAAAAAAGAAAAGACUUUUCUUUUCAUAUUCUUGUGGAACAUUCACCAAGUGAGAACACAUUCUGAGUCACAAAACAAAUCUCAAAAAAUUUAAGAGGAUUCAUUUGCAAUGAUUUGGAUGGAGCUAGAGAGUAUAAUGCUUAACGAAAUAAGUCCGAGAAAGACAAAUACCAUACAAUUUCACUCAUAUGUGGAAGUGAAGAAACAAAGAGCAAAGGAAAAAAAGAGAGAGAGAGAAAGAGACAAAGGGAGAGAUUCUUAACUAAAGAGAACAGAAUAACAGUUACCAGAGGGGAGGUGGGGGGAUGGGUGAAAUAGGUGAAGGGGACUAAGAGUGCACUUGUCACGAUGAGCACUGAGUAACAUACAGAAUUAUUGAAUCACUAUAUUGUACACCUGAACCAGUAUGUUAACAAUACUAGAAUUAAAAUAAAAACUUAAUGGAAAACUUUUAAGAGGAUUUAAGUCAUACAAAGUAUGUUUUCUAAUCACAACAGAAUUAAACCAAAAUUAAUAACAGAAAGAUAUCUGGAAAACCCUCAAAUAUCCGGCAAUUAAAUAAGAUGCUUCUAAUAACCUGUGAGUUAUAGAAAGAAAAUCAGAGAAAAUUAGAUAAUACAUAGAAAUGGACAAAAAAGAAAAGCAAUAUAUGAAAAUUUAUGGAAUACAUAAUACAAAAAAUAAAUAAAACACUGUUUACAGGGAAAUUUACAGUUUUACAUGCUUAUAGGAGAAAAUAAGAAAAGUCUAAAAUUAAUGAUCUAAACUUUAAUCUUUAGGAGCUAAAGAAAGAAGAGCCAAUUAAACUGAAAGAAGGAUGAAAUAAAAACCAGAAAUCAACAAAACAGAAGACAGAAAACAAUAUAGUAAUUGAAUCAAUGAAACCAAAAUCUGGCUCACUGAAACAAUUAAUAAAAUUGAUAAAC
Molecule: long non-coding RNA, 11364 nt
Filed under: Lynx pardinus (Iberian lynx)
Lineage: Eukaryota; Metazoa; Chordata; Mammalia; Carnivora; Felidae
Source: RNAcentral